This 379-nucleotide transfer-messenger RNA is filed under the name Hoyosella sp. YIM 151337. It matches the Rfam family "transfer-messenger RNA". From Rfam's summary of the family: Bacterial tmRNA, also known as 10Sa RNA or SsrA, is named for its dual tRNA and mRNA-like properties. Lineage: Bacteria; Bacillati; Actinomycetota; Actinomycetes; Mycobacteriales; Hoyosellaceae. The record is from RNAcentral.
GGGGCUGAUCGGUUUCGACUGCGUUAGUCGCGAUGGGGGAAGCGUGCCGGUGCAGGCAAGAGACCACCGUAAGCGUCGCUGCAAACCAAUAAGCGCCGACAAUGCUCAGCGCAGCCAGUCUGACUUCGCUCUCGCAGCGUAGUUAGGCAGAUGGCUCGUCAGACCGGGAAUGCCCUCGGCCCGGACCCUGGCGUCGACUAGAGGGACAAACCGUUUAUCCCGGUCACGGGGGUAAGCGGGACAUCAAACAGUGACUGGGAUCGUCAUCACAGCUAGUCCGUGAGACUGUGAGAUCCGAGUAGAGGCACAGCGGACUGCGCACGGAGAAGCCCUAUCAACACAACGGAGGACCCGGGUUCAAUUCCCGGCAGCUCCACCA